Molecule: ribosomal RNA, 179 nt
Filed under: Nycticorax nycticorax (black-crowned night-heron)
Lineage: Eukaryota; Metazoa; Chordata; Aves; Pelecaniformes; Ardeidae
Description: partial 12S rRNA
Source: RNAcentral
CACCGCGGUCACACAAGAGACCCAAGUUAACUGUAAUACGGCGUAAAGAGUGGCAUUAUACUAUCAUUCCAACUAAGAUCGAAAUGUAGCUGAGCUGUCAUAAGCCCAAGCUGCACCUAACACCGCUCUGAAAACAAUCUUAGCAUCUACGAUUGAUAAAACCCACGAAAGCUAAGGCA